RNAcentral lists this small nuclear RNA (92 nucleotides) under Rhodnius prolixus. The record is from RNAcentral. Lineage: Eukaryota; Metazoa; Arthropoda; Insecta; Hemiptera; Reduviidae.
GUACAUAUACGAGUACUAAACAAUCGAAACGAUAAAGAGAAGAUUAGCAUGGCCCUUGUGAAGCAGAAAAUCAUGAAGUAUUCCACAAUUGA